GUGGGGAAUCUUGGACAAUGGGCGCAAGCCUGAUCCAGCCAUGCCGCGUGGGUGAUGAAGGCCCUAGGGUUGUAAAGCCCUUUCGGCGGGGAAGAUAAUGACGGUACCCGCAGAAGAAGCCCCGGCUAACUUCGUGCCAGCAGCCGCGGUAAUACGAAGGGGGCUAGCGUUGCUCGGAAUCACUGGGCGUAAAGCGCACGUAGGCGGACUCUUAAGUCAGGGGUGAAAUCCUGGAGCUCAACUCCAGAACUGCCUUUGAUACUGAGAGCCUUGAGUCCGGAAGAGGUAAGUGGAACUGCGAGUGUAGAGGUGAAAUUCGUAGAUAUUCGCAAGAACACCAGUGGCGAAGGCGGCUUACUGGUCCGGUACUGACGCUGAGGUGCGAAAGCGUGGGGAGCAAACAGGAUUAGAUACCCGAGUAGUCC
Molecule: ribosomal RNA, 425 nt
Filed under: uncultured bacterium
Lineage: Bacteria
Description: bacterial SSU rRNA
Rfam family: Bacterial small subunit ribosomal RNA
Source: RNAcentral